UACAGAGGUCUCAAGCGUUGUUCGGAUUCAUUGGGCGUAAAGGGCUCGUAGGUGGCCAACUAAGUCAGACGUGAAAUCCCUCGGCUUAACCGGGGAACUGCGUCUGAUACUGGAUGGCUUGAGUUUGGGAGAGGGACGCGGAAUUCCAGGUGUAGCGGUGAAAUGCGUAGAUAUCUGGAGGAACACCGGUGGCGAAGGCGGCGUCCUGGACCAACACUGACACUGAUGAGCGAAAGCCAGGGGAGCAAACGGG
This 253-nucleotide ribosomal RNA is filed under the name uncultured bacterium. RNAcentral's name for it is "partial 16S ribosomal RNA". It matches the Rfam family "Bacterial small subunit ribosomal RNA", at positions 524 to 776 of the family's 1533-position model. The record is from RNAcentral.